UACAGAGGUGGCAAGCGUUGUUCGGAAUUACUGGGCGUAAAGGGCGAGUAGGUGGCCAUCUAAGUCAGACGUGAAAUCCCCCGGCUUAACCUGGGAACUGCGUCUGAUACUGGACGGCUAGAGUUUGGGAGAGGGAUGCAGAAUUCCAGGUGUAGCGGUGAAAUGCGUAGAUAUCUGGAGGAAUACCGGUGGCGAAGGCGGCAUCCUGGACCAACACUGACACUGAAUCGCGAAAGCUAGGGGAGCAAACGGG
RNAcentral lists this ribosomal RNA (253 nucleotides) under Acidobacterium sp. Its description in RNAcentral is "partial 16S ribosomal RNA". It matches the Rfam family "Bacterial small subunit ribosomal RNA", at positions 524 to 776 of the family's 1533-position model. The record is from RNAcentral. RNAcentral also lists the same sequence under 1 other name. Lineage: Bacteria; Pseudomonadati; Acidobacteriota; Terriglobia; Terriglobales; Acidobacteriaceae.